This 95-nucleotide small nuclear RNA is filed under the name Pongo abelii (Sumatran orangutan). The record is from RNAcentral. Lineage: Eukaryota; Metazoa; Chordata; Mammalia; Primates; Hominidae.
UUGCUUGCUUCGGCAGUACAUAUACUAAAAUUGGAAGAUAAGCAUGGCCCCUGCACAAGGAUGACACACAAAUUUGUGAAGCGUUCCAUAUUUUU